CGGAGGCGCGCUUUCAGCCAUAAUCACUUCCUAUUUACACGUUCGUUAUUAAAUCACUGAAUUAACAUCAAAAGGUAACGGCCCCCAGCUUCGGACGUCUGUCCCGGGCCACUGAGGGCCUCUCGGAGCCCAACUCAGGUCUCUCCAGCUGGGCUCUUCACUCAGAACAAUGGCCAGUGGACCUGAAUGAGGAAUGCUGAUCAUUUUGACCGAAAGCAUCAGAUUGGAAAGAAAAACUGGAAUCGGAAGUAAGAUCUGCACCUUUUACAACUUUCUUGUUUCUUAUGCAAAUCAACAAGAUUAAAUGGAG
Carassius gibelio (silver crucian carp) is the source of this 310-nucleotide long non-coding RNA. RefSeq lists it as uncharacterized. The transcript is spliced from 3 exons. The record is from RefSeq and is a predicted model, not a curated record. Lineage: Eukaryota; Metazoa; Chordata; Actinopteri; Cypriniformes; Cyprinidae.